Molecule: ribosomal RNA, 707 nt
Filed under: Aureobasidium sp. BJ-2021h
Lineage: Eukaryota; Fungi; Ascomycota; Dothideomycetes; Dothideales; Saccotheciaceae
Description: partial large subunit ribosomal RNA
Rfam family: Eukaryotic large subunit ribosomal RNA
Source: RNAcentral
UUAAAUGCUAGCCUUCGGGGUCGCAUUGUAAUUUGUAAAGGAUGCUUUGGGUAAAACGCCAGUCUAAGUUCCUUGGAACAGGACGUCAUAGAGGGUGAGAAUCCCGUAUGUGACUGGAAAUGUUAACCUAUGUAAAGCUCCUUCGACGAGUCGAGUUGUUUGGGAAUGCAGCUCUAAAUGGGAGGUAAAUUUCUUCUUAAGCUAAAUAUUGGCGAGAGACCGAUAGCGCACAAGUAGAGUGAUCGAAAGAUGAAAAGCACUUUGGAAAGAGAGUUAAAAAGCACGUGAAAUUGUUGAAAGGGAAGCGCUUGCAAUCAGACUUGUUUAAACUGUUCGGCCGGUCUUCUGACCGGUUUACUCAGUUUUGGACAGGCCAGCAUCAGUUUCGGCGGCCGGAUAAAGGCUCUGGGAAUGUGGCCUCCACUUCGGUGGAGGUGUUAUAGCCCAGUGUGUAAUACGGCCAGCCGGGACUGAGGUCCGCGCUUCGGCUAGGAUGCUGGCGUAAUGGUUGUAAACGACCCGUCUUGAAACACGGACCAAGGAGUCUAACAUCUUAUGCGAGUGUUCGGGUGUCAAACCCCUGCGCGUAAUGAAAGUGAACGGAGGUGGGAACCGCAAGGUGCACCAUCGACCGAUCCUGAUGUCUUCGGAUGGAUUUGAGUAAGAGCAUAGCUGUUGGGACCCGAAAGAUGGUGAACUAUGCCUGU